This 492-nucleotide ribosomal RNA is filed under the name uncultured bacterium. RNAcentral's name for it is "partial 16S ribosomal RNA". It matches the Rfam family "Bacterial small subunit ribosomal RNA", at positions 29 to 507 of the family's 1533-position model. The record is from RNAcentral.
AGUGAACGCUGGCGGUAGGCCUAACACAUGCAAGUCGAACGGCAGCACAGUAAGAGCUUGCUCUUACGGGUGGCGAGUGGCGGACGGGUGAGGAAUACAUCGGAAUCUACUUUUUCGUGGGGGAUAACGUAGGGAAACUUACGCUAAUACCGCAUACGACCUACGGGUGAAAGCAGGGGAUCUUCGGACCUUGCGCGAUUGAAUGAGCCGAUGUCGGAUUAGCUAGUUGGCGGGGUAAAGGCCCACCAAGGCGACGAUCCGUAGCUGGUCUGAGAGGAUGAUCAGCCACACUGGAACUGAGACACGGUCCAGGCUCCUACGGGAGGCAGCAGUGGGGAAUAUUGGACAAUGGGCGCAAGCCUGAUCCAGCAAUACCGCGUGCAUGAAGAAGGCCUUCGGGUUGUAAAGCCCUUUUGUUGGGAAAGAAAAGCAGCAGGUUAAUACCCCGCUGUUCUGACGGUACCCAAAGAAUAAGCACCGGCUAACUUCGUG